GGAAUCAACGCUGGCGGCGUGCCUAACACAUGCAAGUCGCACGAGAAAGGGACUUCGGUCCUGAGUAAAGUGGCGCACGGGUGAGUAACACGUGAAUAAUCUACUCCGAGUGGGGAAUAACUGAGAGAAAUCUUAGCUAAUACCGCAUAAUACCCACGGGUCAAAGCAGCAAUGCGCUUGGAGAGGAGUUCGCGGCCGAUUAGCUAGUUGGCGGGGUAAUGGCCCACCGAAGGCGAUGAUCGGUA
This 245-nucleotide ribosomal RNA is filed under the name uncultured bacterium. RNAcentral's name for it is "partial small subunit ribosomal RNA". It matches the Rfam family "Bacterial small subunit ribosomal RNA", at positions 27 to 285 of the family's 1533-position model. The record is from RNAcentral.